This is a small nuclear RNA of Vulpes vulpes (red fox), 99 nucleotides long. The record is from Ensembl. Lineage: Eukaryota; Metazoa; Chordata; Mammalia; Carnivora; Canidae.
GCUUCCACAGCACAUACUAAAAUUGAGAUGAUAAACAUAAGAUUAGCAUGGCCCCUACGUAACGAUGACACAUGAAUUUGUGAUAGAUUCCAUAUUUUU